UCCGGCGUAGUUCAAUGGCUUAGAGCAGAUGUUAUGAAAUGUCAGGAAACAUACGAUGCGGGUUCGAAUCCUGCCGCCGGAA
This 82-nucleotide transfer RNA is filed under the name Tannerella sp. RNAcentral describes it as "tRNA-OTHER". It matches the Rfam family "tRNA". From Rfam's summary of the family: Transfer RNA (tRNA) molecules are approximately 80 nucleotides in length. Their secondary structure includes four short double-helical elements and three loops (D, anti-codon, and T loops). Lineage: Bacteria; Pseudomonadati; Bacteroidota; Bacteroidia; Bacteroidales; Tannerellaceae. The record is from RNAcentral.